AGAGCGGCGGACGGGUGAGUAACGCGUGGGUAACCUGCCCUGUACACACGGAUAACAUACCGAAAGGUAUGCUAAUACGAGAUAAUAUGCUUUUAUCGCAUGGUAGAAGUAUCAAAGCUCCGGCGGUACAGGAUGGACCCGCGUCUGAUUAGCUAGUUGGUAAGGUAACGGCUUACCAAGGCGACGAUCAGUAGCCGACCUGAGAGGGUGAUCGGCCACAUUGGAACUGAGACACGGUCCAAACUCCUACGGGAGGCAGCAGUGGGGAAUAUUGCACAAUGGGCGAAAGCCUGAUGCAGCAACGCCGCGUGAGCGAUGAAGGCCUUCGGGUCGUAAAGCUCUGUCCUCAAGGAAGAUAAUGACGGUACUUGAGGAGGAAGCCCCGGCUAACUACGUGCCAGCAGCCGCGGUAAUACGUAGGGGGCUAGCGUUAUCCGGAAUUACUGGGCGUAAAGGGUGCGUAGGUGGUUUCUUAAGUCAGAGGUGAAAGGUUACGGCUCAACCGUAGUAAGCCUUUGAAACUGGGAAACUUGAGUGCAGGAGAGGAGAGUGGAAUUCCUAGUGUAGCGGUGAAAUGCGUAGAUAUUAGGAGGAACACCAGUUGCGAAGGCGGCUCUCUGGACUGUAACUGACACU
RNAcentral lists this ribosomal RNA (636 nucleotides) under uncultured Clostridium sp. Its description in RNAcentral is "bacterial SSU rRNA". It matches the Rfam family "Bacterial small subunit ribosomal RNA", at positions 92 to 747 of the family's 1533-position model. Lineage: Bacteria; Bacillati; Bacillota; Clostridia; Eubacteriales; Clostridiaceae. The record is from RNAcentral.